This 492-nucleotide ribosomal RNA is filed under the name uncultured bacterium. Its description in RNAcentral is "partial 16S ribosomal RNA". It matches the Rfam family "Bacterial small subunit ribosomal RNA", at positions 30 to 507 of the family's 1533-position model. The record is from RNAcentral.
AUUGAACGCUGGCGGCAUGCUUUACACAUGCAAGUCGAACGGUAACAGGCCUUCGGGUGCUGACGAGUGGCGAACGGGUGAGUAAUGCAUCGGAACGUACCCAGAGGUGGGGGAUAACGCAGCGAAAGCUGUGCUAAUACCGCAUGUGAUCUGAGGAUGAAAGCGGGGGACCGAGCAGCAAUGUUUGGCCUCGCGCCUUUGGAGCGGCCGAUGUCGGAUUAGCUAGUUGGUGGGGUAAAGGCCUACCAAGGCGACGAUCCGUAGCUGGUCUGAGAGGACGACCAGCCACACUGGAACUGAGACACGGCCCAGACUCCUACGGGAGGCAGCAGUGGGGAAUUUUGGACAAUGGGCGCAAGCCUGAUCCAGCAAUGCCGCGUGCGGGAAGAAGGCCUUCGGGUUGUAAACCGCUUUUGGCAGGAACGAAACGGUAUCCGCUAAUACCGGGCGCUAAUGACGGUACCUGCAGAAUAAGCACCGGCUAACUACGUG